AUUAACGCUAGCGGCAGGCAUAAUACAUGCAAGUUGAACGGCAGCACAGGUAGCAAUACUGGGUGGCGAGUGGCGCACGGGUGCGUAACACGUAUGCAACCUACCCUAUACAGGCGAAUAACCCUUAGAAAUGAGGGCUAAUACGCCGUAGUAUUACAGAUGGGCAUCUAUUUGUAAUUAAAGAUUUAUCGGUAUAGGAUGGGCAUGUGUCCCAUUAGUUAGUUGGUAAGGUAACGGCUUACCAAGACGAUGAUGGGUAGGGG
This 263-nucleotide ribosomal RNA is filed under the name uncultured bacterium. RNAcentral describes it as "partial 16S ribosomal RNA". It matches the Rfam family "Bacterial small subunit ribosomal RNA", at positions 29 to 289 of the family's 1533-position model. The record is from RNAcentral.